This 253-nucleotide ribosomal RNA is filed under the name uncultured bacterium. RNAcentral's name for it is "partial 16S ribosomal RNA". It matches the Rfam family "Bacterial small subunit ribosomal RNA", at positions 524 to 776 of the family's 1533-position model. The record is from RNAcentral.
UACGGAGGGGGCUAGCGUUGUUCGGAAUUACUGGGCGUAAAGGGCGCGUAGGCGGAUCAUCAAGUCAGGGGUGAAAGGCCCGGGCUCAACCCGGGAAUUGCCUUUGAAACUGGUGGUCUGGAGGCCGGAAGAGGAUGGCGGAAUUCCCAGUGUAGAGGUGAAAUUCGUAGAUAUUGGGAAGAACACCAGUGGCGAAGGCGGCCAUCUGGUCCGGUACUGACGCUGAGGCGCGAAAGCGUGGGGAGCAAACAGG